RNAcentral lists this ribosomal RNA (484 nucleotides) under uncultured bacterium. RNAcentral's name for it is "partial 16S ribosomal RNA". It matches the Rfam family "Bacterial small subunit ribosomal RNA", at positions 30 to 507 of the family's 1533-position model. The record is from RNAcentral.
AUUGAACGCUGGCGGCAGGCCUAACACAUGCAAGUCGAGCGGAUGAAGGGAGCUUGCUCCUGGAUUCAGCGGCGGACGGGUGAGUAAUGCCUAGGAAUCUGCCUGGUAGUGGGGGAUAACGUCCGGAAACGGGCGCUAAUACCGCAUACGUCCUGAGGGAGAAAGUGGGGGAUCUUCGGACCUCACGCUAUCAGAUGAGCCUAGGUCGGAUUAGCUAGUUGGUGGGGUAAAGGCCUACCAAGGCGACGAUCCGUAACUGGUCUGAGAGGGUGAUCAGUCACACUGGAACUGAGACACGGUCCAGACUCCUACGGGAGGCAGCAGUAGGGAAUAUUGGACAAUGGGCGAAAGCCUGAUCCAGCCAUGCCGCGUGUGUGAAGAAGGUCUUCGGAUUGUAAAGCACUUUAAGUUGGGAGGAAGGGCAGUAAGUUAAUACCUGGCUGUUUUGACGGUACCAACAGAAUAAGCACCGGCUAACUUCGUG